CCUUCGAUAGCUCAGUUGGUAGAGCGAAGGACUGUAGAUCCUAAGGUCGCUGGUUUGACUCCGGCUCGAAGGA
RNAcentral lists this transfer RNA (73 nucleotides) under Orbicella faveolata. Its description in RNAcentral is "tRNA-Tyr". It matches the Rfam family "tRNA". From Rfam's summary of the family: Transfer RNA (tRNA) molecules are approximately 80 nucleotides in length. Their secondary structure includes four short double-helical elements and three loops (D, anti-codon, and T loops). Further hydrogen bonds mediate the characteristic L-shaped molecular structure. tRNAs have two regions of fundamental functional importance: the anti-codon, which is responsible for specific mRNA codon recognition, and the 3' end, to which the tRNAs corresponding amino acid is attached (by aminoacyl-tRNA synthetases). tRNAs cope with the degeneracy of the genetic code in two manners: having more than one tRNA (with a specific anti-codon) for a particular amino acid; and 'wobble' base-pairing, i.e. permitting non-standard base-pairing at the 3rd anti-codon position. Lineage: Eukaryota; Metazoa; Cnidaria; Anthozoa; Scleractinia; Merulinidae. The record is from RNAcentral.